Molecule: unclassified non-coding RNA, 2082 nt
Filed under: Hevea brasiliensis (rubber tree)
Lineage: Eukaryota; Viridiplantae; Streptophyta; Magnoliopsida; Malpighiales; Euphorbiaceae
Source: RNAcentral
ACUGAAGGCACUUUAUUUAUAACUAGUUAAACAUACGACAUUAUGUCGAUAGCAUCAUAGGUACAAGUUUAUAGCAAAACUAGGUAAAUAAACUUAUUACAUAGCUAGCCAUUUUCAGUUUCUUCUAACUUAAAAGACAGUUCUACUAAUUGAGGACUCCGAUACAACGGAGCCCUCUGCCCGGCCAACAGUUGCUGCAUAACUAGCAUUACUUUGGAGUUGUUGUUACCAUCUAACCUCGACGAAUGAGUCCCCUCAAGUCCUCGUUCUCCUUGUUCAAGAAAUCGAGACGUGAUUGAAGAAUGUUGAUCAUAGCUUGAGCUCUCAUCACUUCAAUCUUCGCAGUCUCCCUUUCCAUGGAGACGUUUAGUAUCUGGUUCUCUAAAUUGCUAAUGAACUUCAAGUAACCUGGAGGAACAGAUUUUUCAAGAUUGGAAGAGUCAAAAUUAAAGGAGUUAGUAGGUGGAGCUUCUUUUGGUUCAUCUAACAAGGGAAAUGUUAAGAGAGUAGGGGAGUAAGUUGUCGCCAUCGUCUUUGUUGGUGGAUCCUGUUGGCUAGUGGUUGAAUCUUCAGAACCAUUUGCAUGGCUAGAGCUAGGAUCAUCAUGCUUGGAUCUUUUGCUUUGAGAUAAAGAGAGUAGUUCGAGAUCCUCUGACCUUUCCCUCUUGCAAACAAACGAAAGAGCUCGAGGCUCAAACAGGUUCUCACUUACGCAAGGAGCCUUACCACGCACAUCCUGCUUUGGACAUCCAACCGUUAGCGACAAGGAAAGAAUUACCUGGUCAAACUCAUUUCCCUCGACUCGUGCUUGAUUACCAUUGGCCACGUCAUUCUCUGUCACUCCUCCGGCAACCAGAGGGGCUGUGUCGUCAUCCCAUUCCUCCUCAAUAAAUGGUGCGUAUCUGUCGCCAUUAGGAGGCCCUAAUCCACUUUUCUGGAAGAUCCGACAGAGUACAAAGGCAUCCUGCACAACUCCAGCUGCAUCCAAUUCUUUAUCGUCAAGUCUGUACUCAUGCAUUACCCAGUUAGUUCUCUCUCCAUCAGGAGCUCGACCCUUAUGGAAAACAAGCGUUUUCUUCAUUCCAAUGAUUUUAGAAUUGUGGUUCACAUUACGAUCCUUUCCAGUAGCUUUCCAGUAGCCCUCUCCAGUGGCUCUAUUAAGUCUAGAUCCAUUCCCAUACUUCCUAUCUACAGGGCUGAAAAAAUACCACUCUAAAUCUCUGGUCUUCAGAGCUGAAUAAUCUUUAAGGUCCCAAGGCUCAGAUUUGUAAACAUCAAUUUCAGCAACAGCCUCAACUCGAAAUGGUUUUCCACAAGCCUUCCUCCUCAAAUAGUACCUCACCAAUUCCUCAUCAGUUGGAUGAAACCGAAAACCUGGUGGCAGUGAAGCCCCUCCCAUUAUCUCUGGUCUACCUAGUUCUCGUUCUAGUUCUUGUUCUCUCUAAGGCUAAAAUGUGAAAGAAACAGAACAAUAACAGGGGAAACAGAACCAAAACAAAGCAGAUAAAUGAAGGUUUGUUGCUAAGUACCCAGGCUGUACCUAUUAAAGAUCUGAAAAAUCCAAAAAUAGAAGUUUUUAUCUACACUAGAUUUUUUGCCAAGAAUCAGGUACAACUUCCACAGACUGCACCCAUUGUACAGCAUAACCAUUUUCCUUAAAACUUGAACUUCUUAUGAUCAGAAUACUUUGCCCCCCACCAACCCCCUCCAAAAUUUAGUCACAAAUUAAAGACUGAAAAGAAGGAAAGAAAAAAACUUGAUUUAAGGCGAUACCCAGUAGCCAAGAUUAUCUAUAUUAUCUAACUCAACAAGAAAAACUUCUAAAACUGAAACCUAUUGCAAAACCCAGAAGCUAAAACCAUUCAAAAUCACUCAAACACUGACAAUUUUGAAUGGAUAGGACUCUUUUGCUGGCUUGAGAGAGAAGAUCUUUCAAAAUCUCUCAAAGUAAUGUGUUGACGAGGAAAGAAGGAGAAAGUAAGUAGAGUAAAAAUUAGAGGAGCAUAGAGUGUAUUAUAUACACAAAGGAUUAGGAGAGGCCAAGAGAACAAAAUUUUGCAACGCCAAAAGAGCAGAGAUUGC